Phacochoerus africanus (Common warthog) is the source of this 2204-nucleotide long non-coding RNA. RefSeq lists it as uncharacterized. NCBI's taxonomy places the organism in Eukaryota, Metazoa, Chordata, Mammalia, Artiodactyla, Suidae. The transcript is spliced from 8 exons. The record is from RefSeq and is a predicted model, not a curated record.
UAGACUUGAGAGCGAACCUGGGUGAAGCGCCUGCAGCUGGUCUCCUGAGCCUUAGUUUACCUCGCCUGCCUGUAACGUUUAAUCGAAUAGAUUAGGGUUGCACGACCCGCCUGCCUCAUCGAUUUGUUUUAAAGAGCAUGAAAGGCUCAUUGCACAGAGACUAGCAGACAGGAAGUGCUGGUUCUGAUCCGUCUUCUGCCAAUCCACUGAAGGCUGACCAGAGCAAAUGGACAAUUUGCAUAUGAGCUCGAACAUACGUCUCCUUGUUUGUUGUUCUUUGACAGCGGGAGGACCUUUCCCUCUCAUUGGACCUGACAUACAGAAGGCUCUCGGUGAAGAUUUGCUGUUUUUGAAAUUCCAUGGAUACUGAGGUGCAGCAUGACUAGGAUGCUUACGACUGGCCAGCAGUGAGUGGAAAAUGGAGCCAACAAUGGGAGUCCUUUUAUGCCACAGAGUGCGGCAUAUUUUGUUCACAGCAGUGUCUUGGAAUUUGUGUCUACCUUGCAACCUGAUAGUCCUGAGAAUAUAUCUGCCGUAGUUGGGGAGAGAUUAAGAACCUCAUCCUAAGUCUCUCUUUGGGAGAAUAAAAAGAUUGUUAUUCAUUUACUUCUGUGGCAGCCAUUCAAGUGUUGAAGAAGGAGUAACUUGCUUCUGAUCUGUUUCCUGCCUUCAGACCAGACCCAAGGCUCUCGGACACGCAUGGCAGAGUUUGAUUCAAUGGAGUGUAAACCUGGGCAAGACGAGCGCAAAGAGAGACUGAGCUAGGAUUUCCGUGAAAACUAAACCGAAUGUUUUGGAAAGGCUUGAUAAAGAUGGAUCUGCUCUGAGACGACUUCUCAGGGAGCCUGAAUUUUACCAGUCCUGUGACUCAGCAGCAAGUUGCUUCAUCUCGCUGAGACGUAGCGUCUGUAUCCGUGAGAUGGAGAUGGGUUAUCCUGAGUGAGGCCGUCAGCCUCUGGGAGCCUCCAUUGAUGUGUGACAUGCAGAUACAAGUGCCUACCCUGCAAGAAUGAUGAAAGGAAUAGAAACAGUGAAAAGCAGGAUCUAAUCCUGGAUUAUAUUUAGAAGACUAGUAAAAAGUGAAAUUAUACAGAAUGCCAUAGAAAAUAUCAAGGUACAUUGCUCAGAUUAAGGAUAAGUACUUCUAUAUAAAACUUAUUUCCAUUACAUGCAUAAGUUGUAUUUUUAAUGAAGGUGAUAGUUAAAAAAGUAAUAAAAGAGACACAGUCUUAGAGAACACCAAAGCAUUAAGUAUUCUUGCCAUUUUGGAGAUGAAUAUUCUAGUGAAGGGCAAAACAAAAUACUUGAAUCCAACAAUGUGAAUACUAGGGUGAAGUCAGACAAUGCAAAUUAACACAGGACUGUAGAACUAAGAGGCAGAGGACAGAGCAAGGCAGAGAUCCUUUUAUUCUCUUCUUAUUGAUGUACCGAACAGCCUUGUCCUUUGGAUUAGAACAUAACUGGCCCUGUGCAUAUUGUUGAGUUGGAUGGAAUUUUUGGAUGAGGCAGCUGAAUGGGCUGCAUCAUAGGAACACACUACACACAGCACCUGAGCCUCGUACCGCGAUCCCCAGGCUCUUCCCAAGGCCCAGCUUUGUCUCUAGUGAAUUCAUUAAUGGUUAUGAAGGAAGUUGGUAAAAUGCAAUUGGUAUAUGCACUUUGAAUGAGUCACUUUCUCUUCUGGGCCUCAGUUUCCUCAUCUGUAAAAUGGGGACACAACUCUUGGCCUGGCUCCCUCCCAGGGCUAAUGAGAGAAUCAAGCGAGAAGGAGAGAAGUGUUUUGUAAAUUAUUAAGGGCUAUACAGAUCUGUAUAAAAAUCAGGAUUUCAGAUAGGAGUUUUCACUGGUAGUAUUCCUUGGACAGUCAGUAUUUUGAGAACAAGAAUAUAUUACUUAUCUUCAUAAGUAAUAAGCAUAUAUUACUUAUUUUCAUAACCCUAUUACCUUGCCCAGAGCAGGCCCUCUUGGCAGACUCACCUCUACGGAGACAUACGGACACCUUCCCCUCCAUGGACUUGCAGAGGUUCAUGCAGGUCUCAAAGGCAUCCCACCUCCGUCUUGUUCCUCCACUCAUCAGGGCAGAGUCAAGCUAGAUCAGCUCUUACUCAUCUAUAGAUUUGGUCUCAGCAUGAACCCUUCUCCCCUACCUACUGGAUAACCACCCAUUUCAGUUUUUAUUUGUAUUUCUAGGAAGUGACCCAAAU